GAUGAACGCUGGCGGCGUGCCUAAUACAUGCAAGUCGAGCGAACAGACGAGGAGCUUGCUCCUCUGACGUUAGCGGCGGACGGGUGAGUAACACGUGGAUAACCUACCUAUAAGACUGGGAUAACUUCGGGAAACCGGAGCUAAUACCGGAUAAUAUAUUGAACCGCAUGGUUCAAUAGUGAAAGACGGUUUUGCUGUCACUUAUAGAUGGAUCCGCGCCGCAUUAGCUAGUUGGUAAGGUAACGGCUUACCAAGGCAACGAUGCGUAGCCGACCUGAGAGGGUGAUCGGCCACACUGGAACUGAGACACGGUCCAGACUCCUACGGGAGGCAGCAGUAGGGAAUCUGCCGCAAUGGGCGAAAGCUUGACGGAGCAACGCCGCGUGAGUGAUGAAGGUCUGCGGAUCGUAAAACUCUGUUAUUAGGGAAGAACAAAUGUGUAAGUAACUAUGCACGUCUUGACGGUACCUAAUCAGAAAGCCACGGCUAACUACGG
This 496-nucleotide ribosomal RNA is filed under the name uncultured bacterium. RNAcentral's name for it is "partial 16S ribosomal RNA". It matches the Rfam family "Bacterial small subunit ribosomal RNA", at positions 28 to 506 of the family's 1533-position model. The record is from RNAcentral.